RNAcentral lists this ribosomal RNA (275 nucleotides) under uncultured prokaryote. RNAcentral describes it as "partial 16S ribosomal RNA". It matches the Rfam family "Bacterial small subunit ribosomal RNA", at positions 524 to 798 of the family's 1533-position model. The record is from RNAcentral.
UACGGAGGGGGCGAGCGUUGUCCGAAUUUAUUGGGCGUAAAGCGCGUGUAGGCGGAGAUCCAAGCCCGGGGUGAAAGGUUGGGGCUCAACCCCAACAGUGCCCUGGGGACUGGAUCUCUGGAGGCAGGCAGAGGAGCGUGGAAUUCCUAGUGUAGCGGUGAAAUGCGUAGAUAUUAGGAGGAACACCAGUGGCGAAGGCGGCUUUCUGGACUGAUACUGACGCUGAGGAACGAAAGCGUGGGGAGCAAACAGGAUUAGAUACCCGCGUAGUCCCU